AUUUUGUUAUGUGCUUUUACACAAAAUUUAUAAAACUCAUCACUUUAACUAUAAUAUAAUUUUUAUUUUUCUAUAUCAAAAAUAAGAAGAAGAAAAAUUUUUGGUCCAAAAAUGUAAAGUUAUAAUUGAGUGUUUUGUUACUAAAAAUGAUGUCAUUUCCACUCUGUAGAAUACUAAAUGGUUUAGGAAAAUAGAUUCUGCCACAGGCUGACUAUCUCUGCAGAAAGGUUUUCCAUGUUUUAUGCCACUUUCUGCUUGGUGAGUAAGCAGUGGGGCAUUUCUAUGCACAUUACAUGCCUCCCUCACUCUCUGGGUCAACCACCAGGCAGAAGAUGGGGUUCAACAAGCCAAACUCAAAUCCCUCCUGAAAAAACAAAGUAUGGGAUCUGGGAACUGAACCAAGAUCCUCCAGGAUGGAAGCAUAGCAUAUUUCCACUACAACCAUCUGGCUGACAUCUGCAGAGAGGUCAGCUGAAUUAUGAAAAAUGAUAUUGAUGAGCCAAGUCUGGAUUUCAUUGCCUAGCCCAUUGUGAGAUUUAGAAUUGAAUCCAAAGGUGAGAUCAAGAUUCAAUUCUCAGAUUCCAUUCUUUGGAAAAUUUAUUCAUGAGGUCCAGGACCAACUCAUUGAUCCCCAUCCUCCAUAAUCCAUUUUAUCUCUUCAUAAGGGUGCCCACCACUUAAUAUUCUAUUUGAGUGGAAAAUAAUGACAUAUGUUGAUCAAAAUAAUUUGACCAAUAUUGCAAUUAGAUUAGGUUUUAGUUAAGCACACAAAUUGUAAAUGGAAUAUGUUUGGUGGCAGCUGUUUUUAGAGCCCAUCACAAGCUAGCCAUCAUCCAUAAUAAGAAAUAUUAAUACACAAGCAUUAAGAUGUAGAACUUCUUUACACUGCUCCAUUUUUAAUCAACCAAUAAUAUUUUCAGCACUUUAGGCAGGAAAUAAAAAAUUC
Molecule: long non-coding RNA, 946 nt
Filed under: Androctonus crassicauda
Lineage: Eukaryota; Metazoa; Arthropoda; Arachnida; Scorpiones; Buthidae
Source: RNAcentral